GCCGAGGUAGCCUAGCCUGGCCAAGGCGGUAGAUUCGAAAUCUACUGUCCUCACGGACUCGAGGGUUCAAAUCCCUCCCUCGGCG
Molecule: transfer RNA, 85 nt
Filed under: Halolamina pelagica
Lineage: Archaea; Methanobacteriati; Methanobacteriota; Halobacteria; Halobacteriales; Haloferacaceae
Also listed under: 4 other names
Description: tRNA_Ser_CGA
Rfam family: tRNA
About the family: Transfer RNA (tRNA) molecules are approximately 80 nucleotides in length. Their secondary structure includes four short double-helical elements and three loops (D, anti-codon, and T loops). Further hydrogen bonds mediate the characteristic L-shaped molecular structure. tRNAs have two regions of fundamental functional importance: the anti-codon, which is responsible for specific mRNA codon recognition, and the 3' end, to which the tRNAs corresponding amino acid is attached (by aminoacyl-tRNA synthetases). tRNAs cope with the degeneracy of the genetic code in two manners: having more than one tRNA (with a specific anti-codon) for a particular amino acid; and 'wobble' base-pairing, i.e. permitting non-standard base-pairing at the 3rd anti-codon position.
Source: RNAcentral